This 574-nucleotide ribosomal RNA is filed under the name Saccharomyces mikatae. RNAcentral's name for it is "eukaryotic LSU rRNA". It matches the Rfam family "Eukaryotic large subunit ribosomal RNA", at positions 62 to 648 of the family's 3401-position model. Lineage: Eukaryota; Fungi; Ascomycota; Saccharomycetes; Saccharomycetales; Saccharomycetaceae. The record is from RNAcentral.
AAACCAACCGGGAUUGCCUUAGUAACGGCGAGUGAAGCGGCAAAAGCUCAAAUUUGAAAUCUGGUACCUUUGGUGCCCGAGUUGUAAUUUGGAGAGGGCAAUUUCGAGACCGUUCCUUGUCUAUGUUCCUUGGAACAGGACGUCAUAGAGGGUGAGAAUCCCGUGUGGCGAGGAGUGCGGUUCUCAAUGUGAAAUGCCUUCGAAGAGUCGAGUUGUUUGGGAAUGCAGCUCUAAGUGGGUGGUAAAUUCCAUCUAAAGCUAAAUAUUGGCGAGAGACCGAUAGCGAACAAGUACAGUGAUGGAAAGAUGAAAAGAACUUUGAAAAGAGAGUGAAAAAGUACGUGAAAUUGUUGAAAGGGAAGGGCAUUUGAUCAGACAUGGUGUUUUGUGCCCUCUGCUCCUUGUGGGUAGGGGAAUCUCGCAUUUCACUGGGCCAGCAUCAGUUUUGGUGGCAGGAUAAAUCCGUAGGAAUGUAACUUGCUUCGGGAAGUAUUAUAGCCUGCGGGAAUACUGCCAGCUGGGACUGAGGACUGCGACGUAAGUCAAGGAUGCUGGCAUAAUGGUUAUAUGCCGC